This 303-nucleotide ribosomal RNA is filed under the name uncultured bacterium. Its description in RNAcentral is "partial 16S ribosomal RNA". It matches the Rfam family "Bacterial small subunit ribosomal RNA", at positions 507 to 807 of the family's 1533-position model. The record is from RNAcentral.
AGCAGUCGCCACGGGAAUACAGAGGGUGCGAGCGUUAAUCGGAUUUACUGGGCGUAAAGCGUGCGUAGGCGGCUUCUUAAGUCGGAUGUGAAAUCCCUGAGCUUAACUUAGGAAUUGCAUUCGAUACUGGGAAGCUAGAGUAUGGGAGAGGAUGGUAGAAUUCCAGGUGUAGCGGUGAAAUGCGUAGAGAUCUGGAGGAAUACCGAUGGCGAAGGCAGCCAUCUGGCCUAAUACUGACGCUGAGGCACGAAAGCGUGGGGAGCAAACAGGAUUAGAUACCCCGGUAGUCCCUGUCUCUUAUAC